This is a long non-coding RNA of Bos taurus (domestic cattle), 1433 nucleotides long. The record is from Ensembl. Lineage: Eukaryota; Metazoa; Chordata; Mammalia; Artiodactyla; Bovidae.
GCCCCGAGGGCGUGGGUGAUGGAGCCGCAGCACCGGAGGCCUGGCCCGCCCUGGGGGUGGGGGGACAGAGGCGCCCGCAGCUCUGCUGCCGGGGCUCAGCCUGGCUGGUGCGCGCGGCGGCCGGCAGGGAGCGCCCCCGGGCCGGGAUGCGCGCUCGGGCGGCGGCAGAGGUCUCCCCGAGGUAGCGCGGGCGCCGGGCGACCGGAGCACGCCAGGCACCCCUGCCCACCACCGCUGACCGCGCAGGGCGCCGGGGCCCCCCUGCGCACCCCGCGCACCCGGAGGCACGCUGGAGCAUCCCGGCGCCGGGCGUCGCCUGCGCUCCCCGUCGCCGGUCUCUCCCGGGCCCUGGGGCGUCAGCAAGAGGAGGGGUGCGCUGCUGCGAGUCGGGUGCAGCCGCACCAGGAGCCCAGGCUUUUUUUUGAGGGGGCAGUGAACAGAGCGCUGAUCCCAGGAGGAACUCGUAUCCCCCUGUACAUGGGAACCCCGGGACCAGGGCAAAAGAGACAGACAGACAGACACGCACACGCAGAGAAGGGACGGGGGAAGAAGCCUGACUGCACAGGUCCAGGACGGUCUCUCUAGGGAGUCUGGCCAGGCCAGGUCCAGGAUUCGCACACUUGGAUGACGAGACGUGGCUUCGGGAAUGAAGGAACGCGUGCCCUCAGGACAGGCCAGCCAGGCAGAGACUGACCACUGACCUCGGCACGCAGGUCCCGGAGGCAGCACCAGCCUCCACGCAGAGGACCCACUCCCGGGAAGCAAGGCUUAGCCACGUCCUUCGGUUGGCCAGCCGGGCAGCACAGUGGCCCCUCCAUGGGGCUGAAUCGUGGCCCUCCUGAGCUGUUUGGUUGUAAAUAGCCAAAUGGAAGAACCAGGACAGGGAGAACUGUAGGCCACUGGGAGGCAAGGUGCCCGGCUGGUUCCCGGUCAAGGUGGGAGAGCCUACAGCAGGGGUCACGAAGUGCCGAGCGGCUGCUCCGAGGGGGGCAGUCCGCUUGUGUGUCCAGUGGCGCCCCCUGGCGCGCCUGCCUGGCUGGCCUCGCUUGCUGCUGUGCCCGCUUUCUUUUGCCGAGCGCAUGAAUGAUUCCAUGGAUGAACAAAUGCUUCCUCCCGUGCGUCGACUGCUGCCCUGGGGGCAGGACCGGAGGCCGCACCAGCUGGCUGUCAGAACCAUGGGGAGACAGCGUGGCUCACCUGUGCCCCCCGCCCCGCCCCAGGGCCACUUAUCUGCAGACAGGGUCCCCGAGGGAGCCAGAGCUCCACAAAGGCCCUCCUACAUUUGACCAGCCACGGAAUCCUCAGCCCCUCCUGCCAGCUCAUGGUAACAGCUGGGGAACCAUCCCCCCGGGGUGGGGGCGUGCUGCCCAGCCCUGGCUGGACGCGGGCACAGGGGUGAGGCACUCCAUUAACAUUGCCGCAGGGUCCCGCGA